CCGGCCUCUGGAGGCCUUGCAGGUGUGGAUGCUGUGUCACAUGUACGUCAGUAGGUGGCAGAGAAGAGAGAGGCUAUGUCCGCGUUCAGUGUUCUGGCCGGUGAACACCUGAAUGAUUAGUAGUCAUUUUCU
Molecule: small nucleolar RNA, 132 nt
Organism: Grammomys surdaster
Lineage: Eukaryota; Metazoa; Chordata; Mammalia; Rodentia; Muridae
Product: small nucleolar RNA SNORA17
Exons: 1
Source: RefSeq, a predicted model, not a curated record